UUCUCUCUCAAAAUUUACUUU
This 21-nucleotide non-coding RNA is filed under the name Caenorhabditis elegans. The record is from RNAcentral. Lineage: Eukaryota; Metazoa; Nematoda; Chromadorea; Rhabditida; Rhabditidae.